CCUGGAUGACAGGUAACCCAGACCUUCAACAGACAGGUUUUAUAAUCCUGGAUGACAGGUAACACAGACCUUCAACACAGGUCUUAUAAUCCUGGAUGACAGGUAACCCAGACCUUCAACAGAUAGGUCUUCUAAGCCUUAUAACUUGUAGUUUGUUUAAAGUGGGCCCAGUAGUUGUAUCUCCGUGUCUGUAUCUCCGAGUCUAUUUGAACCAGCUGUGAGGUGGUAGGGGCCAAAACGUGCACCCCUGGGGGUCCUGACAAGCUCUUUUGUCUUGUGUGUAGGGGUCUGCGGUGCUCGUGGCAGGGCCUGGCCUUACUGGACAGCAUGUUACCCACUCUG
Oncorhynchus tshawytscha (Chinook salmon) is the source of this 342-nucleotide long non-coding RNA. Lineage: Eukaryota; Metazoa; Chordata; Actinopteri; Salmoniformes; Salmonidae. The record is from Ensembl.